GGCCGUAUGGUAUAGUGGUAUAUUACGCUCGCCUGUCUAGCGAGAAAUCAGGGUUCGAUUCCCUGUAUGGUCGCCA
RNAcentral lists this transfer RNA (76 nucleotides) under compost metagenome. Its description in RNAcentral is "tRNA-Asp". It matches the Rfam family "tRNA". From Rfam's summary of the family: Transfer RNA (tRNA) molecules are approximately 80 nucleotides in length. Their secondary structure includes four short double-helical elements and three loops (D, anti-codon, and T loops). The record is from RNAcentral.